UGGGGAAUCUUGCGCAAUGGGCGAAAGCCUGACGCAGCAACGCCGCGUGAGCGAAGAAGGCCUUCGGGUUGUAAAGCUCUGUCAGGGGGAAAGAAGGCACCUGGGUUAAUAGCCCAAGGGCUGACGGUACCCCCAAAGGAAGCCACGGCUAACUACGUGCCAGCAGCCGCGGUAAUACGUAGGUGGCGAGCGUUGUCCGGAAUCAUUGGGCGUAAAGAGCGCGUAGGUGGCUUGUCAGGUCCGAUGUGAAAACCUGGGGCUCAACUCCAGGACUGCAUCGGAAACCGGCUUGCUAGAGUCUGGGAGAGGAGAGUGGAAUUCCUGGUGUAGCGGUGAAAUGCGUAGAUAUCAGGAGGAACACCGGUAGCGAAGGCGGCUCUCUGGAACAGUACUGACGCUGAGGCGCGAAAGCUAGGGGAGCGAACA
This 426-nucleotide ribosomal RNA is filed under the name uncultured bacterium. Its description in RNAcentral is "bacterial SSU rRNA". It matches the Rfam family "Bacterial small subunit ribosomal RNA", at positions 355 to 774 of the family's 1533-position model. The record is from RNAcentral.